UGGCAAAUGAUGAUGUUACUUGGAUUCCCCUUCAGAACAUUUUGUAAUGUUGCAAACUCCAAGUUUCUGAUGCU
Non-coding RNA from Brassica napus (rape), 74 nucleotides. The record is from Rfam. Lineage: Eukaryota; Viridiplantae; Streptophyta; Magnoliopsida; Brassicales; Brassicaceae.